Molecule: ribosomal RNA, 492 nt
Filed under: uncultured bacterium
Lineage: Bacteria
Description: partial 16S ribosomal RNA
Rfam family: Bacterial small subunit ribosomal RNA
Source: RNAcentral
AGUGAACGCUGGCGGUAGGCCUAACACAUGCAAGUCGAACGGCAGCACAGUAAGAGCUUGCUCUUACGGGUGGCGAGUGGCGGACGGGUGAGGAAUACAUCGGAAUCUACUUUUUCGUGGGGGAUAACGUAGGGAAACUUACGCUAAUACCGCAUACGACCUACGGGUGAAAGCAGGGGAUCUUCGGACCUUGCGCGAUUGAAUGCGCCGAUGUCGGAUUAGCUAGUUGGCGGGGUAAAGGCCCACCAAGGCGACGAUCCGUAGUUGGUCUGAGAGGAUGAUCAGCCACACUGGAACUGAGACACGGUCCAGACUCCUACGUGAGGCAGCAGUGGGGAAUAUUGGACAAUGGGCGCAAGUCUGAUCCAGCCAUACCGCGUGGGUGAAGAAGGCCUUCGGGUUGUAAAGCCCUUUUGUUGGGAAAGAAAAGCAGCAGGUUAAUACCCCGCUGUUCUGACGGUACCCAAAGAAUAAGCACCGGCUAACUUCGUG